Long non-coding RNA from Capsella rubella, 1491 nucleotides. RefSeq lists it as uncharacterized. The record is from RefSeq and is a predicted model, not a curated record. The transcript is spliced from 3 exons. Lineage: Eukaryota; Viridiplantae; Streptophyta; Magnoliopsida; Brassicales; Brassicaceae.
CUCGUUGAAAUCGCGAUGAACUCUCUCAAAAUCGGUCACAGGCGACUGAAAUCGUCAUCACCGGCGGCUGAGAUCUCUAUCAUCCUUCGGGCUGAUGAAAUCGGAUGAGUGAGAGAAAGUGAGUCGACGUUCUUCUUCACCAAAUCUUGGAGUAGACGUCAACAAAUCUGGUAAGUUCAAUUCGUUCACCAGUUAAUUGUUGCAUGUUUGACGAAUUUAAUAGUUUGAUUUGAUGAAAUUUGAGGGUUAAUUGAUUAAGGUUCAUAGAUUUGGGAAUUUAGGGUUUUCGGAUUAUUUGGGGAUCUUGAAUAAAUUGUUCAAAUUGAUAAUUUUCGCAUAUGAUUGUAACAUUUAUGAGUCAUAUUUGUUAAAAAAAGUGUAGAUUUUUGUGAUUUUUCUUUUGAAUUACUGACAUGUUUUGAUGAAAUUGCUAUAUGUUUUUGUGAGGUUAAACCGGUGGUACAUGGAGUUAUAUGAAUGAAUGUACUUCAGCUGAUGCAAAUAAUGGAUUUGGCUCCAAAAAAUGAGUAUUGUUUUUGUGUUUCAUGUGUUUUGGAGACUUCACCAAAGCUAACAAGAGUUCACGAACCAAAGUGAUAAAGAAGAGUACACACACAAGAAUUCACGGGUGAGAUAAGUUGAAGGAUAAGAGUCACAAGACAAGAAGUGAACGGCUGAGAUAAGUUGAAAGACAAGUCACAAGAGUUCACAGACCAUUUUGUAUUUGUGGUUAUUAUUCAUUCACCACAUAUGUAUUGUCUGUAUUAUGCACGUCACAAGUAAUCAACACAAACCAACACCACAAGAAAUUCUUCUAUAUUAACACCAUCUAUGAGACACAUGAUCACUUAUUCCAACUUCUCUUUCUUAUUUCAUUUUUUUCCAACUUCUCUUGGUUCCAUCUAAAUUUUUUCUGUUUACAAGUUCAUUUUCUCUAAAUAUUACCAAUAAUUUUCAAAAUUUGUUUACAACAAAAUGUCUUCUUCUUCUUCUUCACAUAAUCUCCAAGAUAUGAUGAACGACACAUUUAAUCAAGCAUUUAAUCAAGCUUUCGACGAUCAUAUCGAAAAUUAUGGUGAUCAUCAAGAAACAACCAAGAAGAAGAAAAAAACGCGCCUAUAUUGAAAGAGAUCGUGAACAAGGAAACAUCUGGUAUGAGAAGAUUAUUUCAAAGAAGGUGCAACGAAUCCACCUAAUAUAGACAAGAUGCUAUCGGAAGGUUGGGUCUCUCUGCACUACAAAAGACAACAGCCGCCAUUCAUAUGUUGGCAUACGGUACUGCAGCAGAUGUGGUUGAUGAAUACUUGCGAAUUGGUGUAACCACUGCGCUUUCAUGUUUGGAACAUUUUGUUGAAGGAAUCAUACAACUGUUCGGAGAUGAGAAUCUAAGAAAACCGACACCACAAGAUCUUCAACGACUACUGAAUAUUGGUGAGAUACGUGGAUUUCCUAGGAUGAUAGGAAGCAUAAUUAAUGUAUUUAUUUUCUUGU